AUUCCAGCUCCAAUAGCGUAUAUUAAAGUUGUUGCGGUUAAAAAGCUCGUAGUUGGAUUUCUGCUAGGGACGAUCGGUCCACCCACUGGGUGUGUAUCUGUGUCGGCCUUGGCAUCUUCCUGGCGAACGCAACUGCACUUGACUGUGUGGUGCGGUAUCCAGGACUUUUACUUUGAGGAAAUUAGAGUGUUUCAAGCAGGCGCACGCCUUGAAUACAUUAGCAUGGAAUAAUAAGAUAGGACCUGAGUUCUAUUUUGUUGGUUUCUAGUACUGAAGUAAUGAUUGAUAGGGAUAGUUGGGGGUGCUAGUAUUGGCCGGCCAGAGGCGAAAUUCUUGGAUUCGGUCAAGACUAACUUAUGCGAAAGCAUUCACCAAGGACGUCUUCAUCA
This 389-nucleotide ribosomal RNA is filed under the name Polykrikos sp. RNAcentral's name for it is "partial small subunit ribosomal RNA". It matches the Rfam family "Eukaryotic small subunit ribosomal RNA", at positions 582 to 975 of the family's 1831-position model. Lineage: Eukaryota; Dinophyceae; Gymnodiniales; Gymnodiniaceae. The record is from RNAcentral.